GAUGAACGCUAGCGGCAGGCCUAAUACAUGCAAGUCGAGGGAGAAUGUUGGAUUCGUCUGACAUGAAACCGGCGCACGGGUGCGUAACACGUAUGCAACCUACCUUUAACUGGGGUAUAGCUCAGAGAAAUCUGAAUUAAUCCCCCAUAAGACUACGACAUGGCAUCAUGAUGUAGUUAAAGCUCCGGCGGUUAAGGAUGGGCAUGCGGUACAUUAGCUAGUUGGUGAGGUAAUGGCUCACCAAGGCUACGAUGUAUAGGGGGUCUGAGAGGAUGAUCCCCCACACUGGUACGGAGACACGGACCAGACUCCUACGGGAGGCAGCAGUAGGGAAUAUUGGGCAAUGGACGCAAGUCUGAACCAGCCAUGCCGCGUGAAGGAUGAAGGCCCUAUGGGUCGUAAACUUCUUUUAUUAGGGAAGAAAAAACGGGAUGCGUCCUGUACUGACGGUACUUAAUGAAUAAGGAUCGGCUAACUUCGUGCCAGCCGCCGCCGUAA
This 498-nucleotide ribosomal RNA is filed under the name uncultured bacterium. Its description in RNAcentral is "partial 16S ribosomal RNA". It matches the Rfam family "Bacterial small subunit ribosomal RNA", at positions 28 to 523 of the family's 1533-position model. The record is from RNAcentral.